GUUUCUUCAUCAUCACCAUCACCACCACUC
Molecule: small RNA, 30 nt
Filed under: Arabidopsis thaliana (thale cress)
Lineage: Eukaryota; Viridiplantae; Streptophyta; Magnoliopsida; Brassicales; Brassicaceae
Description: ATSL000700
Source: RNAcentral